CAGGGAGACCAACCAACUCAGCACAGAGAAAGUAUAUGUGUGGAAGUAUGGACAACCCUGGUCGAGCAAGGAAAAAGAGUGUGUGAAAAAAACUUUCAAACUAGAGGUUAGGUUUUGUUGAUGGGCUAUUAGCUCAGUUGGUUAGAGCGCACCCCUGAUAAGGGUGAGGUCUCUGGUUCAAGUCCAGAAUGGCCCACCUAACCGAAUGAUAAGGGGGUAUAGCUCAGUUGGUAGAGCACUGCCUUUGCAAGGCAGGAGUCAGCGGUUCGAGUCCGCUUACCUCCAGGAGGGAGGAAAAAACAGAAGUCAGCAACAAGACCUGAACCAAUCAAGUCAUGCUGCUGGUCAUCUAUGGAAAUGUCCAGUAAGAACCUUGAAAACUGCAUAGUAGAAAGAAGUUAAAGUAACUGAACCAGAGGUUAGGUUUUACCUAAGAAAAAAAAUCUAGUCAGGUAGAAAGUAAAGUGGUCAAGUUAUCAAGGGCUGACGGU
Molecule: transfer RNA, 491 nt
Filed under: Dapis pleousa FSI10-1
Lineage: Bacteria; Bacillati; Cyanobacteriota; Cyanophyceae; Oscillatoriales; Microcoleaceae
Also listed under: 1 other name
Description: partial 16S-23S ribosomal RNA intergenic spacer
Rfam family: tRNA (bases 213-285)
Source: RNAcentral